GGGCGUAUAGCUCAGUUGGUUAGAGCACCUGCCUUACAAGCAGGGGGUCAGAAGUUCGAAUCUUCUUACGCCCACCA
This 77-nucleotide transfer RNA is filed under the name Deltaproteobacteria bacterium. RNAcentral's name for it is "tRNA-Val". It matches the Rfam family "tRNA". From Rfam's summary of the family: Transfer RNA (tRNA) molecules are approximately 80 nucleotides in length. Their secondary structure includes four short double-helical elements and three loops (D, anti-codon, and T loops). Further hydrogen bonds mediate the characteristic L-shaped molecular structure. tRNAs have two regions of fundamental functional importance: the anti-codon, which is responsible for specific mRNA codon recognition, and the 3' end, to which the tRNAs corresponding amino acid is attached (by aminoacyl-tRNA synthetases). tRNAs cope with the degeneracy of the genetic code in two manners: having more than one tRNA (with a specific anti-codon) for a particular amino acid; and 'wobble' base-pairing, i.e. permitting non-standard base-pairing at the 3rd anti-codon position. The record is from RNAcentral. Lineage: Bacteria; Pseudomonadati; Myxococcota; Myxococcia. RNAcentral also lists the same sequence under 2 other names.